UACGGAGGGGGCUAGCGUUGUUCGGAAUUACUGGGCGUAAAGCGCACGUAGGCGGCUUUGCAAGUCAGAGGUGAAAGCCCGGGCUCAACCCCGGAAUUGCCUUUGAGACUGCAUCGCUAGAAUUGUGGAGAGGUAAGUGGAAUUCCGAGUGUAGAGGUGAAAUUCGUAGAUAUUCGGAAGAACACCAGUGGCGAAGGCGACUACUGGACACAGUAUUGACGCUGAGGUGCGAAAGCGUGGGGAGCAACAGG
RNAcentral lists this ribosomal RNA (251 nucleotides) under uncultured bacterium. RNAcentral describes it as "partial 16S ribosomal RNA". It matches the Rfam family "Bacterial small subunit ribosomal RNA", at positions 524 to 775 of the family's 1533-position model. The record is from RNAcentral.